This 311-nucleotide long non-coding RNA is filed under the name Olea europaea (common olive). RNAcentral's name for it is "long non-coding RNA (OEUR_LNC010551)". The record is from RNAcentral. Lineage: Eukaryota; Viridiplantae; Streptophyta; Magnoliopsida; Lamiales; Oleaceae.
AGACUUUUGAAGAUUUUUUACUAUUUACUUUUUGAAAAAUCUGUAAAAGAAUCUUACUAUUUUAUAAAGUAAGAUUUGAUAGGAUAGCUUUUACUAUUCUCUUUUUGACGUUUUGAAAAAAGCAAAGAUUCCUUGCUUUUAGAUAACGUCUAUCUUAUUUUUCUUCUCCUAUAAAAGGAGAUCAUUCUUUCAUUUGUAAGAACACGGAAGAACAUAUAUACAAUACAAAUUUCUUAUUCUCUCAAAUAUGUUCUAAUUUUCUUUCUUUCCCGAAAGGGAAAUUCUUAAUUGUUCUUAUUCUUAGAUGAAAU